CUGUUUAGUCCCCAGGAAGUCACUUCUCAUUCCUUGUCCUUUGUUCUUAAAAUAAAAAAAGUGACUUCAUCCAAAACCAUGAAGUCUUCCAGGCUGUACCACUGCUGCUUACAUUGGAGGCAAACACUGCUUUGGAGUAAUGUGGGAAAAGAUUUGAGCAGCAGAAGUGCUUAGAUUUCUUUUAGGUUAUCCAUUCAGCUCACUGGAAGAGUGACGGAGACAAGGUCUCAACAUUCUACUUCUGGCCAGGAAUGAAGUCAGUGUACUUGGCUGCUGCAUUCCUUGAGAGCCUCUAGGACUACUGCCUGUGGAAAAAAAUUAUCACCAGAUCAUCACCAAGGGGAGGAGGGGAAGGAGGAGAAGGAACAGGACAAAUCAAGCACUUCAAAUUGCUCCCUGGAAAUGGU
This is a long non-coding RNA of Dama dama (fallow deer), 407 nucleotides long. RefSeq lists it as uncharacterized. The transcript is spliced from 3 exons. The record is from RefSeq and is a predicted model, not a curated record. NCBI's taxonomy places the organism in Eukaryota, Metazoa, Chordata, Mammalia, Artiodactyla, Cervidae.